This 1725-nucleotide ribosomal RNA is filed under the name Triticum aestivum (bread wheat). RNAcentral describes it as "partial small subunit ribosomal RNA". Lineage: Eukaryota; Viridiplantae; Streptophyta; Magnoliopsida; Poales; Poaceae. The record is from RNAcentral.
AUGAAGCUCCUCAGCUCUGAAGAUUCGAGAAAGUUAUUCACGAGCAGAGUAUUUGGGUCUGAGAACAAAUGUCCAGCUAAUUUUGAGGAAGUUUCAAAUGAAAUUCUGAAGAAGUGUGGCGGAUUGCCACUUGCAAUCAUUACUAUAGCUAGCCUAUUGGCUUCCCGUCGAGAAAGAUCAAGGAAUGAUUGGGAGAACAUACAGAAUUCUCUAGGUGCCCAGUUUGCCAUAAACCCCACACUGAAAGGGAUGAGGAGUAUAUUAAACCUCAGCUAUAUGAAUCUUCCUCUUCAUCUCCGCACUUGCUUCCUUUACCUUGCUAUGUAUCCAGAGGACUAUGUGAUUGAGAGGGAUGAUCUAGUCCGAAAAUGGAUAGCCGAAGGCUUUAUCAGUAAUUUGCAUGGACCAAAUUUGGAGGAUGUUGGGAUAAGUUAUUUCAAUGAGCUAGUCAAUAGAAGCAUGAUUCAGCGUGUAAUGACCUACAAGGGAGUUUACUGCAAAGUACAUGAUAUGAUGCUAGAUUUGAUCCUAAGCAAGUGUGCAGAAGACAAUUUUAAUAGUGUGGCAUAUACUUCUGAAGACAUGACAAGACUGCGUGACUGCACGUACAAGAUCCAUCGGUUAUCCCUGAUCUCACGUGUUGAUAGAACAACAAAUGAAACAAUAUCAUGGACAGUUUUGGAUAGCAUAUCACAAGUUCGGUCAUUGGUAUGGUUCGGAGCUUGCAAGUCCAUACCUCAUCUUUCUCAGUUAAAGUAUAUCUGUGUGUUAUCUUUUGAAGAUCGAUCUUUAAUUAGGACACGUCUGGACCUCACUGCAAUCAGCCAAAUGUUUCAACUGAGGUAUUUAAAGGUUUCAAUUUAUUACUAUGCAAUGCUUCCCACUGAAAUUCGGGGGCUUGUGCAUUUGGAUACGUUGGAUGUACCAUGUGGAAGCAUCCCGUCAGACAUAGAGCACUUGCCGCGCUUGUCUAAUCUGACAAUGGGUUUGUAUGAGGGGAUAGGGCUACUUGAAAGGAUCGGGAUCAUGGAAUCACUUCGCACACUCGAUGGUUUCAAAUUGGAGAGGAGUUCGCUGGAGGCUCUUGAGGGCCUUGGUAAGCUGACUAAUCUGAGGAAUCUGAAGCUUCAUACCUGGGAUGAUGAUGAGUGCAAUCUGCUGGAGAAGGCGAAGUUUGAUGCUUUCGCCUCUUCUAUUUGUAAGCUACGCAACCUCAAAUAUCUCCAGAUCAAAGGCAAUCAUGAUGAUAAGGACGACAUUUUAGGCUCAGUUUCAGAUCCUCCAGCCCUUAUCGAGGAAAUGGGGACGAAAACUGAUGAGAUUACUAUUCUUGGAGGACUGCCAUCCCUCGUCUACCUCAAGCUUAGAGUUGUGACAUGCCCUAAAGAAGAGGCUGUUAUCGUCAGCAAGGGAUUAUUCCCAGUUCUGGAGCGCCUUACAUUCAUCUCUGACGAGGGUGUUUUAGCAUAUCUUGAUUUCGAGGCAGGAGCUAUGCCCAAGCUACGAGACCUCAUUCUGCAAGUCAACCAACCACUGUGGGGUGGACCUACACCAGCCGGCAUGUUGCACCUCUUAGACCUCCAGCAAAUCAGUUUUACUGCAUGCGGCAACCACAAGGAAUCUGUUGAACAAGUGAAGCUCGACAUCCAGUCUGCGUUUAGGAACGCCCUGCAGAUGCACCCAAGCCCUCCUUCCUUGGAUAUUAACUGUUACUCCCGCAAAUGA